UAUGACCAUUUAUUGCUAACAUCUUUCUCAGAUACUGCUGCCAAGGGUUAAAAUGUUUACAUGCCCCCUGAUUUUAAAUGGACCGGGUUGCAUGUCAAAUGCCAACGAGAGGGACAGCUGGAGUAUCUAAACCAAGAGCUUUGAUCUUGGUAUCUGUAAAAAAGAGGUCAUUUGGUCUCCCCAGGAAGCACAGACAUUUAGAAGGUCCCUGUACAACUCAUGCAAGUAUUUUAUUAACAGCAAUUUCUAUUCACAUUUAGAUCUCAGAGGGAAACCAUCUCUGCCAAGGCCGACACCGUUAGCACAGUGGCACAAUGGCACCCUCUGUUGCCCUUCAUGAUUCCUUUGGUGGCUGCUCCCACGUGGAUGUAUUAACUUCUGAAAACAUCUGUGCAUCGUCUUCCCCAAAUCCGACCUCUUCCUGCCUAACUUCCUUGUUUGUUUGGAAUUAUCCUCUGUUAUUUCCCUUCAUAAUAAAAUCCACUUUGUUCUUCGAGUCU
This is a long non-coding RNA of Pseudopipra pipra, 500 nucleotides long. RefSeq lists it as uncharacterized. NCBI's taxonomy places the organism in Eukaryota, Metazoa, Chordata, Aves, Passeriformes, Pipridae. The transcript has 2 exons. The record is from RefSeq and is a predicted model, not a curated record.